AACGGCCGUACCAUGCUGAAUAUACCGGUUCUCGUUAGAUCACCGAAGUCAAGCAUCAUUGGGCGCGGUCAGUACUUGGGUGGGUGACCACCUGGGAACACUGCGAGCCGUU
Molecule: ribosomal RNA, 112 nt
Filed under: Caerostris darwini
Lineage: Eukaryota; Metazoa; Arthropoda; Arachnida; Araneae; Araneidae
Source: RNAcentral